This 497-nucleotide ribosomal RNA is filed under the name uncultured bacterium. Its description in RNAcentral is "partial 16S ribosomal RNA". It matches the Rfam family "Bacterial small subunit ribosomal RNA", at positions 28 to 507 of the family's 1533-position model. The record is from RNAcentral.
GAUGAACGCUGGCGGCGUGCCUAAUACAUGCAAGUCGAGCGAACAGAUGAGGAGCUUGCUACUCUGACGUUAGCGGCGGACGGGUGAGUAACACGUGGAUAACCUACCUAUAAGACUGGGAUAACUUCGGGAAACCGGAGCUAAUACCGGAUAAUAUAUUGAACCGCAUGGUUCAAUAGUGAAAGACGGUUUUGCUGCCACUUAUAGAUGGAUCCGCGCCGCAUUAGCUAGUUGGUAAGGUAACGGCUUACCAAGGCAACGAUGCGUAGCCGACCUGAGAGGGUGAUCGGCCACACUGGAACUGAGACACGGUCCAGACUCCUACGGGAGGCAGCAGUAGGGAAUCUUCCGCAAUGGGCGAAAGCCUGACGGAGCAACGCCGCGUGAGUGAUGAAGGUCUUCGGAUCGUAAAACUCUGUUAUUAGGGAAGAACAAAUGUGUAAGUAACUAUGCACGUCUUGACGGUACCUAAUCAGAAAGCCACGGCUAACUACGUG